Molecule: ribosomal RNA, 777 nt
Filed under: uncultured Alphaproteobacteria bacterium
Lineage: Bacteria; Pseudomonadati; Pseudomonadota; Alphaproteobacteria
Description: SSU rRNA
Rfam family: Bacterial small subunit ribosomal RNA
Source: RNAcentral
CACGGGUGAKUAACGCGUGGGAACCUGCCCUGAGGUUCGGAAUAACGGCUGGAAACGGCCGCUAAUACCGGAUAAGCCCUGAGGGGGAAAGAUUUAUCGCCUUGGGAGGGGCCCGCGUCCGAUUAGCUUGUUGGUGUGGUAAUGGCGCACCAAGGCUGCGAUCGGUAGCUGGUCUGAGAGGAUGAUCAGCCACACUGGGACUGAGACACGGCCCAGACUCCUACGGGAGGCAGCAGUGGGGAAUAUUGGACAAUGGGGGAAACCCUGAUCCAGCAAUGCCGCGUGUGUGAAGAAGGCCCUAGGGUUGUAAAGCACUUUCAGUCGUGACGAUGAUGACGGUAACGACAGAAGAAGCCCCGGCUAACUCCGUGCCAGCAGCCGCGGUAAUACGGAGGGGGCAAGCGUUGUUCGGAAUUACUGGGCGUAAAGGGCGCGUAGGCGGCCAAGUCAGUCAGGCGUGAAAGCCCGGGGCUCAACCCCGGAAUUGCGCUUGAUACUGCUAGGCUAGAGAUCGGAAGAGGGUAGUGGAACUCCCAGUGUAGAGGUGAAAUUCGUAGAUAUUGGGAAGAACACCAGUGGCGAAGGCGGCUACCUGGUCCGGAUCUGACGCUGAGGUGCGAAAGCGUGGGGGAGCAAACAGGAUUAGAUACCCUGGUAGUCCACGCYGUAAACGAUGAAUGCUAGACGUCGGSAAACUUGUUUUUCGGUGUCGCCGCUAACGCAUUAAGCAUUCCGCCUGGGGAGUACGGCCGCNAGGUUAAAACUCAAUGAAUUGAC